GGUUAAGUUAGAAAGGGCGCACGGUGGAUGCCUUGACACUAGGAGUCGAUGAAGGACGGGACUAACGCCGAUAUGCUUCGGGGAGCUGUAAGUAAGCUUUGAUCCGAAGAUUUCCGAAUGGGGAAACCCACUAUACGUAAUGGUAUGGUAUCCUUACCUGAAUACAUAGGGUAUGGAAGACAGACCCAGGGAACUGAAACAUCUAAGUACCUGGAGGAAGAGAAAGCAAAUGCGAUUUCCUGAGUAGCGGCGAGCGAAACGGAACAUAGCCCAAACCAAGA
This 281-nucleotide ribosomal RNA is filed under the name Xenorhabdus koppenhoeferi. Its description in RNAcentral is "partial 23S ribosomal RNA". It matches the Rfam family "Bacterial large subunit ribosomal RNA", at positions 1 to 279 of the family's 2925-position model. The record is from RNAcentral. Lineage: Bacteria; Pseudomonadati; Pseudomonadota; Gammaproteobacteria; Enterobacterales; Morganellaceae.